RNAcentral lists this ribosomal RNA (246 nucleotides) under uncultured bacterium. RNAcentral describes it as "partial 16S ribosomal RNA". It matches the Rfam family "Bacterial small subunit ribosomal RNA", at positions 15 to 253 of the family's 1533-position model. The record is from RNAcentral.
GAUCCUGGCUCAGGAUGAACGCUAGCUACAGGCUUAACACAUGCAAGUCGAGGGGCAGCAUGAUUGAAACUUGCUUCAAUUGAUGGCGACCGGCGCACGGGUGAGUAACACGUACCCAACCUGCCGAUAACUCGGGGAUAGCCUUUCGAAAGAAAGAUUAAUACCCGAUAGUAUAGUAUUUCCGCAUGGUUUCACUAUUAAAGAAUUUCGGUUAUCGAUGGGGAUGCGUUCCAUUAGAUAGUUGGG